CCUACGGGUGGCAGCAGUGGGGAAUAUUGGACAAUGGGGGGAAGACUGAUGCAGCAAAGCCGCGUGAGUGAAGAAGGAUCUCGGUAUGUAAAGCUCUAUUAGCAGGGAAGAAGAUGACGGUACCUGAGUAAGAAGCACCGUCUAACUACGUGCCAGCAGCCGCGGUAAUACGUAGGGGGCAAGCGUUAUCCGGAUUUACUGGGUGUAAAGGGAGCGUAGACGGCGAGGCAAGUGUGGAGUGAAAGCCCGGGGCUCAACCCCGGGACUGCUUUGGAAACUGGCUGGCUGGAGUGCUGGAGAGGCAAGCGGAAUUCCUGGUGUAGCGGUGAAAUGCGUAGAUAUUAGGAAGAACACCGGUGGCGAAGGCAGCUUGCUGGACAGUAACUGACGUUGAGGCUCGAAAGCGUGGGGAGCAAACAGGAUUAGAUACCCGGGUAGUC
RNAcentral lists this ribosomal RNA (440 nucleotides) under uncultured bacterium. Its description in RNAcentral is "partial 16S ribosomal RNA". It matches the Rfam family "Bacterial small subunit ribosomal RNA", at positions 338 to 795 of the family's 1533-position model. The record is from RNAcentral.